AUCAUUCCGUGGUGUUUAAGCAGCUAGAGUAAACACAUUUUAUUCAUGUCUUUAAAAAUUCAAAAUUAGUGUGAGCUGUGCCUCCCUCAAAACCUGUUACAACAUUGGCCCAUUACCCAUCUGAUG
Molecule: non-coding RNA, 126 nt
Organism: Myotis brandtii (Brandt's bat)
Lineage: Eukaryota; Metazoa; Chordata; Mammalia; Chiroptera; Vespertilionidae
Source: Rfam